This 91-nucleotide transfer RNA is filed under the name bacterium. Its description in RNAcentral is "tRNA-Ser". It matches the Rfam family "tRNA". Rfam says of the family: Transfer RNA (tRNA) molecules are approximately 80 nucleotides in length. RNAcentral also lists the same sequence under 1 other name. The record is from RNAcentral.
GGAGAGGUGUCCGAGAGGCCGAAGGAGCACGAUUGGAAAUUGUGUGUAGGCUUAUCCCCUACCGUGGGUUCGAAUCCCACCCUCUCCGCCA